Harmonia axyridis is the source of this 1688-nucleotide long non-coding RNA. RefSeq lists it as uncharacterized. The transcript has 3 exons. NCBI's taxonomy places the organism in Eukaryota, Metazoa, Arthropoda, Insecta, Coleoptera, Coccinellidae. The record is from RefSeq and is a predicted model, not a curated record.
CAAUUGGCAACACAAAAUCUAAUCUGGUCUUUGAACCCUUUGAAAACCUUGUAAUCACAGCGUCUUCGUCAACAUCAAUGUCCCUAAGCGCGUUCGGUUAUUACCUCGGACCGCUCGGACUUGUCUGAACCGUCUGUUUAUUACAUCCAGAUUGAGAGGAAUACACAUCUGGAGCGUUCGGCAAAUAUAUCUGAGCAAUCGGAUGUCAAUCUUUUUCGUCGGACGUUUUCGACCUAGCAAAACGAUUUUAUCCACAGAGUUUACCUUUGUCUAUGGAUUAUUGGAUUUUAUCUGUCUUUUAUGUUUGUUUAUUCAUAAAAAUUAACAUUUCGUCGUAGUUUGUAUUGAAAAAUUUCAAUACCUAACUCGUUAUACUUCUAUAAUUGGAUUUUAAAUAAAAUGAUGGGUAUGGAAUGCAGAUAACAAAUGAAUAGGCAGUGUGUAUAUUUUUGGAAUGAGAUAUAUGGUGGUGACUUUGGACAAUAUCAUUGGUAAGACUUUGGGGACAGAUAAUUUUUUCGUGUAAUUAUAUAAAGCGUUGUGCAUGCUCAGUUUAUUCAGAAGAGCGAUAGACAUUCAAGCUAGGGAUAUGAGGAAAAAGGCCAAGCUUUUAAAAAAGUUGACCAUGUUUACAAUAUAUGAAGUGGACUGGUUUCAUUACUUCCAAAUAAAUGAGACAGACUUCAGUGAAUUUUCCACCUUAUUAUAUCGAAAUUAUGUAAUGGAUGAAGCAGAAGAAAUUUACUCCUUCAAGGGUAUCGACUGGGACAUCAGUGUCCCAGAAGUAUUUUAUAAAUGUCCUGUUCAACAAUAAAUAUACCCAGCUUGGAAUCAAUUGGGAAUAUAAAGCCAGAUCAGUGUAUUCAAGUUUCAGAGAAAAAAUACCAUAUUCAGGAAAAGGAAGUUUGUCAGUUGGACCCGAGGCUUGUUGCUUUUCUGAAUGGUGUUAUUUUCAAGAAUGGGGAGUCAGUGAAAUUAUUGGAAAUCAAAUGUCUAUUCAUUGGUCAAAUUAUUUCUGCUGAAAAUACUGAGCACCAUUGCCAAUAUUUGAGAAGAGGAAAAGCCAGCUAAUUUGAAAGAAUGAAUAAACAUUAUGCUAGAGUCUGAUAAAGUAUGGCAAUUAUGAAUUUGAAAAAUUGCGACUCUAUAGUGUUCUCAUCUGGUGAUAAGACGUUCAAAACUGUUAAUGAGCCAUUUGAUGAAGAAUUCACAAAAAAAGAAUUCUUAAAACUUUAAAUGAUUUAUUUUAAAAAUAUGCUCUACAGUCUACACAUUGUGUAGCAUGAAAGUUUCAAUUUUUCAAUUAGAAAGAUAUUUUUCCAAGCCUUAAUUAUGCUGUAAUAAGACCAUCCAGAAUAAGAAAAGUUCCGAAUCAUACAUGUCUGAAGUUAUACAUGUUAUAACUUCUUGACUAUUGAAAAAUUUGAGUCCAGUUGUUAUUAGUAAGAGAGUAAAGGAUUUGCUAUUGGAUCAUACAAUAUACAGGUUGAGUGAUUUAUUUAGGAAUCAUUUUUGUAAAUAUUAUUUGAUAAUUUGUAACUACAAACAUAUUUAUUUUUUCAUUACAAUGACUAUUAAUACUAUUCAUUUAUAGUUUAAGAUUUUUUGAUUGACAAGCCAUGUAAACUUUUGAUGGCGUAUGUUUUUAUGGAUUUCUUGUGUGCAAAUAAAUUAUUAUUAUUAUCAAA